AUGUGGCCAGUUUCUCCAAAUCCUCGGCCACAAGCACCUGGAUAUGUGAAAAUGCCAGGCAAGCCUUCUAACAAUGACAGGAAGAGGGAAGAAACAGAGAAGCCGAAGGGUAAGAAAAUGAGCAAACAUGGAACUGUGAUCAAGUGUUCAUUGUGUGGUAGCAUUGGACACAAUAAGGCUAGCUGCAAAAAGAAUCCAGAUAGAGGAAAGAAAAAGAAUGCACACCUAGUUAAGAGCAAGAAAGCAGAGAUGAUAAUGAUGAUUCAACGCUAGAGUGGGGCUGCUCCGUUCCACAUACUUCAUCUCGUCGAUGGCUCCCCGCACGACGAUCCGCGGGAGGUUUUAGCAUGA
RNAcentral lists this ribosomal RNA (351 nucleotides) under Triticum aestivum (bread wheat). RNAcentral's name for it is "partial small subunit ribosomal RNA". The record is from RNAcentral. Lineage: Eukaryota; Viridiplantae; Streptophyta; Magnoliopsida; Poales; Poaceae.